AUUGAACGCUGGCGGCAUGCCUUACACAUGCAAGUCGAACGGCAGCACGGGAGCAAUCCUGGUGGCGAGUGGCGAACGGGUGAGUAAUAUAUCGGAACGUGCCCGGUCGUGGGGAUAACGUAGCGAAAGCUACGCUAAUACCGCAUACGAUCUACGGAUGAAAGCGGGGGAUCGCAAGACCUCGCGCGAUUGGAGCGGCCGAUAUCAGAUUAGGUAGUUGGUGAGGUAAAGGCUCACCAAGCCGACGAUCUGUAGCUGGUCUGAGAGGACGACCAGCCACACUGGGACUGAGACACGGCCCAGACUCCUACGGGAGGCAGCAGUGGGGAAUUUUGGACAAUGGGGGGCAACCCUGAUCCAGCAAUGCCGCGUGAGUGAAGAAGGCC
RNAcentral lists this ribosomal RNA (386 nucleotides) under uncultured bacterium. Its description in RNAcentral is "bacterial SSU rRNA". It matches the Rfam family "Bacterial small subunit ribosomal RNA", at positions 29 to 416 of the family's 1533-position model. The record is from RNAcentral.